This 172-nucleotide non-coding RNA is filed under the name Ornithinibacillus halophilus. Its description in RNAcentral is "T-box sequence". It matches the Rfam family "T-box leader". From Rfam's summary of the family: Uncharged tRNA acts as the effector for transcription antitermination of genes in the T-box leader family. The record is from RNAcentral. Lineage: Bacteria; Bacillati; Bacillota; Bacilli; Caryophanales; Bacillaceae.
AGAAUGGCAAUGAAAAAGGCGUAGUACAAUAACCCUCUGAUUUUUAGAGAGCUUGUGGUUGGUGAAAACAAGCAUCAAGGUGAAUUGGAAUUGGACUUUGGAGCUAGUACUAAUGAAGUGAUCUUAAAGUUUAAGAUAAUUAGGGUGGCAACGCGGUUCAUUCGUCCCUUUC